RNAcentral lists this long non-coding RNA (1509 nucleotides) under Salmo salar (Atlantic salmon). Its description in RNAcentral is "lncRNA (ENSSSAG00000115438.1)". Lineage: Eukaryota; Metazoa; Chordata; Actinopteri; Salmoniformes; Salmonidae. The record is from RNAcentral.
CCUAUGCCCCAUCCUGCCUGACCCCUCUGUAUCCCUCUGUGACCCUAUGUGUCCCUCUGUGAUCUUCUGUCCUUCUUUGUCCCUCUGUGACACUCUGAAUCCCUCUGUGACCCUAUGUGUCCCUCUGUGAGCUUCUGUCCUUCUUUGUCCCUCUGUGACACUCUGAAUCCCUCUGUGACCCUAUGUGUCCCUCUGUGACCUUCUGUCCUUCUUUGUCCCUCUGUGACACUCUGAAUCCCUCUGUGACCCUAUGUGUCCCUCUGUGACCCUAUGUGUACCUCUGUGACCCUACGUGUCCCUCUGUGACCCUAUGUGUCCCUCUGUGACCCUCUGUGACCCUCUGUAUCCCUCUGUGACCUUCUGUGUCCCUCUUUGUCCCUCUGUGACCCUCUCUCUAUGACAUCUCCAGCUCUGUCUCCUCACUGAACUCUUACCUCCAGAGUGGCAGAUGGUUUCUUUUUCAGCUCAUCACAUUUGCGGAACUUGCAGAUCUGGUGGCCCGUUUUGCGGUUCCGGCAGCUGCUGCACGUCUCGCAGUUAAUUCGCCGACGGCAGGGCUGGCACAUGCCGCAGCGUUUCCGCUUCUUUUUGCCGGAGUUGAUGGCGGAGGCCAGCUCGCUCUGCGCCGGGUACUCAGCCAGGCCGGCCAUGUGCAGAGCGCUGUCGGCCAGGAACACGCCGGCCGGUGUCAUGAUAAACAGUCCCGGAUUGAACGGGAAGCCGCCUCCCACACCGUACGGGAAGUCUGCAAUACCGCCAAUGGAGUCCGCAGCAGACGCACCAUCCAAGUCGUUUGCCCCUGAGAUUGAAUCGCUACCCCCCAUCCCCAUCCCCAUGCCCCCCGGCAGCAGCAUGUGCUCCAUCCCAGCCCUCUUUAACAGCACCGCCGCCUGGGCAAAGUGCAGCAGGCCGUUCUGUCCUUCCAGGACCUGCUCCAGGGUCCGGUCCAGCUUGGCUGCCGCCAGCGCUGAGACAGUGGGCUGGGGCUGUGGGGGUGGCUGGGGCUUGGCCGGGUGGCUCUUGGCCUCUCCAUUGUGGUGUGCGUGUCCAUUAGUGUUGGUGGGGCAGGCGGCUGUGUACUGGGAGAGGGUGCGAGACCUCUUAAGGCUCUUACUCAGGGGCUCACUGAUGAUGCCACUGCGGUUCCUGCGCUCGAUGACAGGGACAUCCUCACUGCAGCUGCUUCGCUCUAGGGCCUCGGCUGUCCGGUCUCGGCUUCCCUCCGACCGUCCGCUAGACAUGUUCCAGUACGUGCAGGGCUGGGGGGGCGGGCGGGAGGGGGAGCCGAGAGGUUCUCACAGUCUGUUCUGAGCCCAGGUGAGGUGGCGCCUCCCCACUGUGGACGAAUCGGACAGGCAGGCCUUAGAGCCCUUGUGCUCUGUCUAAACUUCAGCCCUCAUCCACAUCCUUCCACUGUCAACCUACAAACUGGCACAGGGAGAGAGAAGGGUCCUUCAAUAACAGGCUCAGUGUUGGACCUAGACAGCAUCUUAGUAAACAACAGACUCC